CUUAAAAAACAGACAAAAGAACACCACACCUCAGUAACCUUGUAUGCUGCAUUAUGUAAUAAUGAUAGUGAAAUUACAUUGAUUGUUUGGAGUGUACUGUGUCUGUCUGCAAACACACAUGCACAGUAAACGUCUUCAUUUUUAUAAUGUCAUAAUAGCGAUUAUGGGUCCUCUUUCUUUGUAAUAUCAGCUAAGAUAAGAUGGAAUGUUAACAUACCAACCAAACUACUAAUUCCAUAAACUCUAGAGUUUGGAUUUUUACCAAUAAACCAUUAACACUA
Molecule: long non-coding RNA, 281 nt
Filed under: Bos taurus (domestic cattle)
Lineage: Eukaryota; Metazoa; Chordata; Mammalia; Artiodactyla; Bovidae
Description: long non-coding RNA NONBTAT019041
Source: RNAcentral